RNAcentral lists this ribosomal RNA (404 nucleotides) under uncultured prokaryote. Its description in RNAcentral is "bacterial SSU rRNA". It matches the Rfam family "Bacterial small subunit ribosomal RNA", at positions 355 to 776 of the family's 1533-position model. RNAcentral also lists the same sequence under 1 other name. The record is from RNAcentral.
UGGGGGAUAUUGCACAAUGGAGGAAACUCUGAUGCAGCGACGCCGCGUGAGGGAAGAAGGUCUUCGGAUUGUAAACCUCUGUCUUCAGGGAAGAAAUUGACGGUACCUGGAGAGGAAGCCACGGCUAACUACGUGCCAGCAGCCGCGGUAAUACGUAGGUGGCAAGCGUUGUCCGGAAUUACUGGGUGUAAAGGGUGCGCAGGCGGGUCGGCAAGUUGGAUGUGAAAUGCCCUGGCUCAACUAGGGAGCUGCAUUCAAAACUGUCGGUCUUGAGUAAGGUAGAGGUAGGCGGAAUUCCCGGUGUAGCGGUGAAAUGCGUAGAGAUCGGGAGGAACACCAGUGGCGAAGGCGGCCUACUGGGCCUUUACUGACGCUGAGGCACGAAAGCAUGGGUAGCAAACAGG